AAAAAGACGCCUUAUAGUCGUGAAAAUACGGUAUGUGCGGUGUUCUGAUGCUUGUAUAAACAAAAAUCUCUUUUAGGUGCAGUGGAACAAAAAUCUACUCAAGUGACCAACAGAAGAGAUGGCCAGAAGGAUUUUUUCCACCCUGAUAUUCAGAACAAUAUCUACCAUGUUGGGGAUAACUGUUUGGGAAACCCUCUGAGCCAUCCAGGUCUGACAGCUGCCAGAGCUUCACCACAGCUGUCUUACUGCAAACCUGAAGGAUGUGCUGCUGAUGUGGUCACAGUGUUUUUUGAUGACCAACUCAUUCCGCAUGGCUCAAUCCCAGACUGCUCAGGACCUCCUCUUCUUAAUACAGUGUGCCAAUUUCAUGGCCGUGCAUUUGUUUCCAGCAGAAAGGGGAGCACCUGUGAAUUUGAGGAGGAUAGUUACUAUAUCGCUACAAAAAAAUGCUCAGGUAUUUCUGAUUUAAAGUAUAUUGGCUGCAUUGACAAACAUCAGUUUUUAUUUGACAACUACAGGGAAGUCUGAGUGGAACACUCACAAACUUUCCUGUCGUUUUUGUCAGAACCGACGGACUCAGUAUUCAGGGAAGACAGACAGUGGGAAAACUCAAAAAGCCUUUAUUAAAAUCUGUCGGUUCAGAGUAGUAGUGGCUAGGGCAUCUAUCACAGGAAACUCUGCAGAAAGGAAAUGGCUUAGUGACAAUGUAAAUCUAAUGGAUAAAGACUAUGUAUGUAGGAUCCAGCUGGUGGGCUGCCAACAAGAUGCAGCAGGCGCCACCUACAGUGUCCCAGAUGCUGCAAUCCAGGAGAACUGCACGGAGAACUGCCAGGAGAACGGCUUAAAGUCGGUCUGAUCAAAAAAUUGCCCAAAAAGGGCAAAAAAUCGUACAGUGUAUGCCCGGCCUAAGGUACAAUAAAAACACUCACCACAGGCUGGAGAGAAAUAAUGUGGCUCUGAUGACAGGUAAUGAGAACCCGGGAAGAAUUGGACAGGUGAAUGAAAUGAGCAAUUAAGCCAGUCAUCUGCACCAAGAUCAUGACAGUUUUUCAAGUUAGUGGUAUUUUCUGAUGUCCUCCAGUCUUUAGUCUUUAGUGUUCUGCAUUUGCAUAGUUUGUAAUGACAAUUACUAAGUGAUAAUAGUAGAAUAAUAAUGGUAAAUUAAAUAAAAUAAUCAUAACUUUUAUUUAACCAGGUAUUUUUUCCACACAGAUCUGGUCAAACAAAGCUUUGAGAUCAUGGAAUUGAAAUGAACCAUAUACACUCACUUUGUGUCCUGUUUUUUUUUUUUUUUUUUGCAAUAACAGUUUCAGCCUUUUAGAAAUGUACCACCAGAGGUGACAUCUUCUGACUAAAUUUCUUUUGCAGUUCUUAUUUGCAAAAUAAUUCAAGCUCAUUCAGUUUUGACAAGGAGAAAAUAUUUUAAGUCUUGCCACAGAUUAUUCUUCUGAAAGAUAGUCAGUAAUUUGACUGGACCAUUCUAUCAUAUAGUGCUCUAUUGCAGAUAAACCAUUUCAUGUAGCUCUGGCAGUUUUUUAAGUUUUCUUGCCUUGCUGCAAAGAAAACCUCAGUCUCAAGUAUUUUUGUAGCAAUGUUUUCUUCUUGGAUUAUCUUGUGUUUUUGAUCAUCCAUCUUUCCAUUAUUCUUGACAUGUCCCUGUUAAAGAGAACCCUUCCCACAGCAUGAUGCUGCCACCAACAGUGUGGAUGUUUCGUUUAGACCUUGACCCAAUCUGCCGUCAGAUUUAUGCUGCUACUUCCCCACCAACAACCCAUCCAGACAGUGGCAAGGAAGUGACAAGCCUCAGUCCAGGAUACAUUGCCAUAAUAACCAUCGUGCAGGUUUCAUCUGCUGAAUCAGCUCUGCCCUCUCUGCUUCUAUGCAACCACUCUGCUGGUCACUCUUUCUAGUACUUUUCUACCUUUUUGAACCAAACACAUGGCAGUGUGUUAAUUAGACACCACAUUAAACCAACCCAAAGCUGAACUGAGGCUUCAAGAAACAUAAGGGGGGAAAAAAAGACGGUGUUGUUGCACUUCUGUGAGGAUUUGGGCUAAUUCAUUACUGUUCAACCCUGAUGGUUACCAACUCAGUGAAAAUCAAGUGACACCUCUUGGCCAGGAUCUGUCUUCCACCAAACCAACAUAAAAAAUUUAUUUUUGGCUUUUUUUAUGUGUAUGAAUUGAUCUAAACCUGAAUUAAAUUUGCCUAAGUAAUUUUUAUCACUCUGACUAUUGGCAAAUUGAAAUAUUUUAGUUAUCCAAAUUUACCAAAAUCUGGAUAUUUUUUUAUUUGGGUUUAAAGUCGGUGAGUUUAAAAAGCUAUGUGUAGUGUAUGUAAAUGUCUGGUUUUAACUGUGGGUACUUAAAAAUAUGAAUUUAUAGACUGCUAAGUUAUUAAAACAAAACAUUAAAAGGGUCAAGAGUGUCCUGAUUGCAUUUUUAUAGGAAAAAUGUAUUUCUUAGAGUUCCACACUUCCAUACCACCAACAGAUCCAAAAUAUUUUUAUAAGACAUGCGAGUGUCUUCUGACAGGAGUCAGUACAAACAAUUUGAAGAGACUUUGCUAGGAUUUUAACAAGAACUUGUAGAAAGAGCUAAAGAUUAGAGUGAUGUGCAAGAAACCACCAAUGAUCAUUAUAAAAAGAUUAAAAUAAGAUGAUGAGCAGUUAUAAAAGGGGUCUACUGUAAUUUCAAUAUAGUGAUAUAUAUAGUGUAGUAUUAUUUAACUGCUUAUUAAGAUGAAUUAUAGCUAAUUUUAAUUGAUCUUACAUUGGAGAAAUUCACUUCUGCAUCUUAACCCUUCCCUUGAGGGAGCAGUGGGCUACCACUGUGAGGCGCCUGGGGAGCAGCGUGGCAUUAAGGGUCUUGCACAGGGACCAAGACUGCAGGCUGUGGGGAUCAAACUGGUUCCUUGCAACCUUCUCAAAAUAAUACCCCACCCUCAUUUGAAUGAAAUAUUCAUAAAAAUUACAUUUAUUUUCAGCACUCAGAUUUGUCUCGUAGCUUGCAACCUUUUGGUCUCAUUUAGCUACCAAUUAAAGUUUUUGAUUGAAUCAAAAGUUUGUAAAUGUUUGCCAGGAGUAAUGACCGCAGUGGCUGCGGAGUGGCCUUGCAGCAAGAAGGUUCUGGGUUCGAUUCCUGGC
Long non-coding RNA from Cyprinodon variegatus (sheepshead minnow), 3145 nucleotides. RefSeq lists it as uncharacterized. Lineage: Eukaryota; Metazoa; Chordata; Actinopteri; Cyprinodontiformes; Cyprinodontidae. The transcript has 8 exons. The record is from RefSeq and is a predicted model, not a curated record.